This 253-nucleotide ribosomal RNA is filed under the name uncultured bacterium. RNAcentral's name for it is "partial 16S ribosomal RNA". It matches the Rfam family "Bacterial small subunit ribosomal RNA", at positions 524 to 776 of the family's 1533-position model. The record is from RNAcentral.
UACGUAGGGCGCAAGCGUUGUCCGGAAUUAUUGGGCGUAAAGAGCUCGUAGGCGGCUGGUUGCGUCUGCUGUGAAAUCCCGGGGCUUAACCCCGGGCGUGCAGUGGAUACGGGCCGGCUGGAGGCAGGCAGGGGAGAAUGGAAUUCCCGGUGUAGCGGUGAAAUGCGCAGAUAUCGGGAGGAACACCGGUGGCGAAGGCGGUUCUCUGGGCCUGUUCUGACGCUGAGGAGCGAAAGCGUGGGGAGCGAACAGG